GCGUAAAGGGCUCGCAGGCGGUUUCUUAAGUCUGAUGUGAAAGCCCCCGGCUCAACCGGGGAGGGUCAUUGGAAACUGGGGAACUUGAGUGCAGAAGAGGAGAGUGGAAUUCCACGUGUAGCGGUGAAAUGCGUAGAGAUGUGGAGGAACACCAGUGGCGAAGGCGACUCUCUGGUCUGUAACUGACGCUGAGGAGCGAAAGCGUGGGGAGCGAACAGGAUUAGAUACCCUGGUAGUCCACGCCGUAAACGAUGAGUGCUAAGUGUUAGGGGGUUUCCGCCCCUUAGUGCUGCAGCUAACGCAUUAAGCACUCCGCCUGGGGAGUACGGUCGCAAGACUGAAACUCAAAGGAAUUGACGGGGGCCCGCACAAGCGGUGGAGCAUGUGGUUUAAUUCGAAGCUACGCGAAGAACCUUACCAGGUCUUGACAUC
Molecule: ribosomal RNA, 432 nt
Filed under: Bacillus subtilis
Lineage: Bacteria; Bacillati; Bacillota; Bacilli; Caryophanales; Bacillaceae
Description: bacterial SSU rRNA
Rfam family: Bacterial small subunit ribosomal RNA
Source: RNAcentral